Long non-coding RNA from Chenopodium quinoa (quinoa), 2313 nucleotides. RefSeq lists it as uncharacterized. The transcript has 3 exons. NCBI's taxonomy places the organism in Eukaryota, Viridiplantae, Streptophyta, Magnoliopsida, Caryophyllales, Amaranthaceae. The record is from RefSeq and is a predicted model, not a curated record.
CCCUAAAAGAUAUGCACGUACUAGGUAAAGAGAUAUAUAUAUAUAUAUCAUUAAAACUGACUUUUUAAGACGUGCAUACUUAGUUCCUAUUAGGUUCUGAACUCUGAAAGUCUCUGAGUUCGUGACAGGUCAGUAACUCUAAUUUCAUUGACAGUCUAGAGUUUCACUUUGGUUCGAUAGACUUGUUUCAAACAGACUUUCAUGCCUAACAUACUUACAUGAAUCCUAGAGCAAUAUAUUUCUAUUUUCUCCGUCUUCAUGUUGUUUCUGUAAAACUCUUGUUAUGGAAUCUUGUAGUCUUGAUAUAUUUUGGAACUCGGGGCAAUGUUCCACUUCUGGAACCGCAGGCCAAGUUCCUAACUAGAACUUGAUGUCACUCUUGUUCAUUCCUUGUUGGAACUCACAGACCAGGUUCCAAACUGGAACUUGGUGUCACUUGCACUCCUGUUAGGGAGUUGUCCAUCGUUUACCUGUUAGGGAACACGCUCCGACUCUUGGGAAAAGCCUGCCAAAAGUUCAUUUGGAUCUCGUUGGAGAAUACCUUCAGGUUCCUUCAUGGUUUUGGUUCUCGCGUGAGAACCUACUUUGUGUUCAUUCAUUCUCUCUUGUUCCUCUUUAAGUCUUCUAUGUUCCAACCCUUUGACUUCACCUUAGUUAGUUCCCGUCUUCACAUAAACACGUAAAGAGAACAUUAGAUUGAAAUUUGUUUGUUAUAAAUAAACAAACUUCAAGUGAAAGAACUAAUUAAACUUAAAGCUACAUAUGUACUCCUACACAUACAUGACUCAUGUAUACAUAGGAUAAUUACCUCAUGAAGUUAACUUAUGCAAACACUUAUUUACAUAGUUACCUUCAUGUGGUCCUUAGCCAUCACUAUUCUUAUCAACCAUAACUCAUCACGGUUCUUGAUCCUUAUGUUGCUUAUUAUAUAUUGCUCAAACUCCUUAUAUAUAUAUAUAUAUAUAUAUAUAUACACUUGCCAUUGCUCGAGUUCCUUGUAUCUUGUUCCAAGCAUAACUUGUUCUUUUUAUGCAUAGCUUAACAAACACGCUAGAUAGAUAAUCAUCAUUAGUUUACAAUCAUCAAAACCUAAUUACUCAACAAUUUUUCCCUUUUUAAUGAUGUCAAACUAAUGAUGGUUAUCACACAUUAAAUGAUAAAUCAUCGUUCAUAUAUUUCCCCUUAGGUCUACAAGGAAAUAACAUUAGAAUAAGGUAGAAACAUACAAAGGAAAUUCACAUAGUAAGGAACUAGCAAUACACAUCAUUGUCAAUAUGUAUACUAUUAAAGACCAUAAUGCAUAUAUAAGAAUUUUACUCUUAAAUACUGCAUACCAUAAGCAUCAUACAUAUUCUUCCCCCUUUUGUCAUUAUCAAAAAGGGUAUUGUUCCACACAUUUGUUUUAUGUAAAUUACACACACGUAAAAUCAUAUGUAAUACCCCGUAUUUUUAGCCAUUUACUAAUUAUUAACUAUGGAUUUUUCCGAAUUACUUUAAAUAUUAAAUUUUAAUAUUAUACAUAAAUAUUUAUUUAAGUCAACAUGUGAUUUACGAAGACAAUUUUAUAAUUAUGCUUUAUAAAGGAUUUAAUUAUACGAGUCAGGUUAAAUUUGUUGUACCCAAAAAUCGAAUUUUUAACGUUUAGUACUAUGCCCGAAAUCCCGAGUCAAAUACUUGUUUCCGAGUCAAAUUAACCAACUACUACCAAUCUAAUUCUUCCUCCAAAAUAAAAAUCAAAGUCUCCUUAUUUUACACUACUACCCAAUUACCACCCAUCUACUUAUUCUUCCAUAGUCAAAGUCAAGAAAAGCUUACUCCCUACAUUGAUGAUGGUGGUUGAAAUAGUACCAUUUGGAGACUAUAAAUAGCCAUGGAAGUAAGACAUUCUUACUCCAUCUUCCUUCCUCCAAGCUAACUUCUCUCCCUAUUCUCCUUCCUUCCCCAUAUUUCUUUCAUUUGGCCGUGAGCCUUGCCACGAGCACCAUCGUACUACAGGCUUGCCGCCCAACCACCACGACACUGCCACCCUGCCACCACCUGCUGCGGAGGCUACCGACCACCAAAGGUGGUCCCUGCUUGUUGCUGCCGCCUAGGAAUUUUGAGUUCGUAAUUAGGAACGUCGUGCUUGUUUGCAAGGAUCGAGUUACGUGAUGGUGACCGGACAACGUGAAUUAAAUGUUGCAUUGGGGACGAUGGGCGGUGAUCACCUAGUUCAAUUUAUGUGGAAACCUAGUAUAAGCGUUAUAAUUAAUUCGGAAAUGUUUUGAACUACUAUUAUUAUUAAUAAUAAAUGAUGUAGUUUUUUCCGCUGCA